GUGGGGAAUAUUGGACAAUGGGCGAAAGCCUGAUCCAGCCAUGCCGCGUGUGUGAAGAAGGUCUUCGGAUUGUAAAGCACUUUAAGUUGGGAGGAAGGGUAGUAACCUAAUACGUUGCUACUUUGACGUUACCGACAGAAUAAGCACCGGCUAACUUCGUGCCAGCAGCCGCGGUAAUACGAAGGGUGCAAGCGUUAAUCGGAAUUACUGGGCGUAAAGCGCGCGUAGGUGGUUCAGUAAGUUGGAAGUGAAAUCCCCGGGCUCAACCUGGGAACUGCUUUCAAAACUGCUGAGCUAGAGUACGGUAGAGGGUGGUGGAAUUUCCUGUGUAGCGGUGAAAUGCGUAGAUAUAGGAAGGAACACCAGUGGCGAAAGCGACCACCUGGACUGAUACUGACACUGAGGUGCGAAAGCGUGGGGAGCAAACAGGAUUAGAAACCCCGGUAGUCC
Molecule: ribosomal RNA, 450 nt
Filed under: uncultured bacterium
Lineage: Bacteria
Description: partial 16S ribosomal RNA
Rfam family: Bacterial small subunit ribosomal RNA
Source: RNAcentral